RNAcentral lists this ribosomal RNA (1251 nucleotides) under Triticum aestivum (bread wheat). Its description in RNAcentral is "partial small subunit ribosomal RNA". The record is from RNAcentral. Lineage: Eukaryota; Viridiplantae; Streptophyta; Magnoliopsida; Poales; Poaceae.
AUGAGGUGCCCAGCCAUCGCCCGCCGGCGGUCGGAGGCCAACCGAAGGAGCAGACGCAGCAAAUCUUGGACCGGGGUGACUCGAGGUCGGAGAAGACGAGGGACCCAAAAAAGUUGGAGAGACACCUGGUGGGAGGAAGGGCGGAGGAGGAGGGAGGUGGUGUGGCAUAGGAGCAGUGCUGGGAGAGGCGCCGGGGGAGAGCAGCAGCGGGGCGCCGCCGCGCCGUGCGAGCGCGUCGCAGGAGCGUCGAGCUCCAACGGUCAUAUUUCCUCCUCCGGCCUUUGGGCAUGGACGCCUUCUCCUCAUCGCAUCCCCAAGGUGCUGUGGUGCACGCUGGUGAACAAGGGUGCGGGUGGCCUCUCCUCCAAGGUCCGCAUCGAGGAGGAUCGCCCUGAUCAAUGGAAGAGAGGCGUCUCGUUCCGCGUCCUACUCCAUGUCGACUGCGUGGAGGAUUUCACUGGAGCUCCGGUCUUGGACGGCGGUGAGCCGCUCACCAACUUCAGGCCCGUUUCGCACUCCCUGCCGCAAUGCAACCUGGGCACCAUUGACGGCCGGCCCGUUGGUGAGGGCUCGGGUUCCAUCCUUCCGGCCCCCAUCCCAGCUUUGGGCGAACUCGGCCCAGCCUACCAUAGACGCCACGACGAUGAAGAUCGUUUUGGGCGGGCCCCCUCUGUCGCUCAUGACGAGCAUGACAAACCGCUUCACGCACGGCCACGGGAGGAAGAACGACGCGCGUCUCAUCGCUCCCUCUCCAGGGCCACGGAACGACGCCGUUCACGCUCUGUGGAGACGAAGGAUCGUCGUCGCAGCCGCUCACGGCACGGCUCUCGCUGCGAUGACAGGGUGACGCGCAAACGCCACCACUGGGAAGACGACGAUGACGAGGAACGCCGGGGACCUCGCCGUGAGUCCUCACGUCGCAACUCCUCUCGCUCCUCCCGCGCCAAGUCUGCGGGCCAUCACCGUGACGGAGGGAGGGGUCGCUCCCAUGGCCGCAGUUCGGGUCGUUCCUUUGGCCACCAUGUUGUUCACCGACGCCACAUCACCGAGCAGCGCAAUUCUGCUCCUAGCAGCCUGGCCGGAGACUCCCCGGCGCGGAUGAAACUCUCCUCCGUCAUUGCAUGUGACGCGGCUUGCACGGACUGGACGUCCGCUAUCAAGCCUCCACCAUGGGCUUCUCGCGGCUCACCUCGCCCCCACCAUAAGUGCACAUCGAGCCUCCCCUCCCCAGCGCUUGGCUGGAAGACGUGA